GGGAGUUUAGGUUAACUAGACCAGAGACCUUCAAAGUCUCAAGAAAAUAUAAAUUAUUUAACUCCCG
This 67-nucleotide transfer RNA is filed under the name Histiotus magellanicus (southern big-eared brown bat). RNAcentral describes it as "tRNA-Trp". Lineage: Eukaryota; Metazoa; Chordata; Mammalia; Chiroptera; Vespertilionidae. RNAcentral also lists the same sequence under 1 other name. The record is from RNAcentral.